This 475-nucleotide ribosomal RNA is filed under the name uncultured bacterium. RNAcentral's name for it is "bacterial SSU rRNA". It matches the Rfam family "Bacterial small subunit ribosomal RNA", at positions 40 to 507 of the family's 1533-position model. The record is from RNAcentral.
CGGCAGGCCUAACACAUGCAAGCGAGCGGUAACAUUUCUAGCUUGCUAGAAGAUGACGAGCGGCGGACGGUGAGUAACGCGUAGAAAUCUACCUAGUAGUGGGGAUAGCCCAGAGAAAUUUGGAUUAAUACCGCAUACGCCCUACCGGGGGAAANCCGGGGGAUCUUCGGACCUCGUGCUAUUAGAUGAGUCUGCGUCGGAUUAGCUUGUUGGUGAGGUAAUGGCUCACCAAGGCGACGAUCCGUAGCUGGUCUGAGAGGAUGACCAGCCACACUGGAACUGAGACACGGUCCAGACUCCUACGGGAGGCAGCAGUGGGGAAUAUUGCACAAUGGGCGCAAGCCUGAUGCAGCCAUGCCGCGUGUGUGAAGAAGGCCUUAGGGUUGUAAAGCACUUUCAGCAGUGAGGAAAGGGGUGUCGUUAAUAGCGCCAUCCUGUGACGUUAACUGCAGAAGAAGGACCGGCUAACUCCGUG